GGUGAACGCUGGCGGCGUGCUUAACACAUGCAAGUCGAACGAAAAGGCCCUGCUUUUGUUGGGUGCUCGAGUGGCGAACGGGUGAGUAUCACGUGAGUAACCUGCCCUUGACUUUGGGAUAACUCUAGGAAACUGGGGCUAAUACCGGAUAGGAGCUCCUGCUGCAUGGUGGGGGUUGGAAAGUUUCGGCGGUUUGGGAUGGACUGGCGGGUUAUCCGCUUGUUGGUGGAGUAGUGGCUUACCAAGCCUUUGAAGGGUAGCCGACAUGAGAGGGGGACCGGGCACAUUGGGACUAAGGGAGGCCGCAGUCGCCAACGGGAGGCAGCAGGCGAGAAUCUGACGGAAUGGGGCGGAGUGGGAGGCGGCGACGUUGCGUGCGGGAUGAUGGGUUACGGGGGGUGAACCGCUGUCGCCGGUGAAGUGGCCGGAGUGACGGUACUGGGUCAAGAAGCAACGGCUAACUACGUG
Molecule: ribosomal RNA, 468 nt
Filed under: uncultured bacterium
Lineage: Bacteria
Description: partial 16S ribosomal RNA
Rfam family: Bacterial small subunit ribosomal RNA
Source: RNAcentral